This 1868-nucleotide long non-coding RNA is filed under the name Homo sapiens (human). RNAcentral describes it as "HSALNT0298033". The record is from RNAcentral. Lineage: Eukaryota; Metazoa; Chordata; Mammalia; Primates; Hominidae.
GUUCCCUACGCGGUCGGGCGUUGGGUUUCGCGGCGCUCGCCGCACUGGUUGUUCAGCACCUUCGGUCCGGUUGAGGUUGUCAAGUCGGACCAAACAGGUUGUUUCUCUGCAGUUUCCAACAUGGCAGGGAGGUUUAAUAGACAUGGAUAAGAAGUCCACUCACAGAAAUCCUGAAGAUGCCAGGGCUGGCAAAUAUGAAGGUAAACACAAACGAAAGAAAAGAAGAAAGCAAAACCAAAACCAGCACCGAUCCCGACAUAGAUCAGUGACGUCUUUUUCUUCAGAUGAUCCUAUGUUUCCUUCUUCCUCAUCAUCGUCUUCAGGAAGCCAGACAGAUUCAAGUAUUGAAGUAACACAGACCCUCUGUAGAAUACCCAGGAGGGAUAGGAAUGAAUCAGAGAUGCUGCCAAGGGAAAAAUUAAGAAGAAGAGAAGAGAGAAAACAAAUAAAUGGGAAAAAAGAAAGAGUCUUGUCCUGUUGCUCAGGCUGGAGUGCAAUGAUGCGACCUCGGCUCACUGCAACCUCUGCCUCCCGGAUUCAAGCAAUUCUCCUGCCACAGCCUCCUAAGUAGCUAGGACUACACGCAUGCACCACCACACCUGGCUAAUUUUUGUAUUUUUAGUAGGGACGGGGUUUCACCUGGUUGGCCAGGCUGGUCUCGAACUCCUGACCUCAUGUGAUCCGUCCACUUCAGCGUCCCAAAGUGCUGGGAUUACAGGCAUGAGCCACCGUGCCCUGCCUCUUUUAGUUAUUUUUAAAUGUACAAUAAAUUGUUGUUGACUGUAAUCACCCUGUUGUGCUAUAAAAUACGAAAUCUUAUACAUUCUAGCUAUAUUUUUAUACUCAUUAAUCAUCCUCCUUUCCCCACCUUCAACUACCCUUCUAAGCCUCUGGUAACGAUCGUUCUGGUAUCACCAUGAGUUUAUUUGUUUUCAUUUUUAGCUCCCACAAAUAGGUGACAACAUGUGAAUUUUGUCUUUCUGUGCCUGGCUUUUGUCACUUAACAAUGACCUCCAUUUCCAUCCCUUGUUGCAAGUGACAGCAUCUCAUUUUUUUUUUUUUUUUGGCUGAAUAGUGCUCCGUUGUGUAUUUGUACCACAUUCAUCUGUUGAUGGACGUUUAGAUUGCUUCCAGAUCUUGGCUAUUGUUGCUGAAUUCUUUUUCUCAGCAUGGAACGUCCCUGAGAAAGAGAAUGCACGCCUAGGGGUAGGUCUCUGAACUGGCCCCCCCGGGGCGUACCUGUCUCUUAUGGUUGAGACUGCAGGGACGAAAUAAACUCCAGUCUCCCAUAGCGCUCCCAGGCUUAUUAGGAAGAGGAAAUUCCCACCUAAUAAAUUUUGGUCACACCGGUUGAUCUCAAAACCCUGUCUCCUGAUAAGAUGUUAUCAAUGACAGUGGUGCCCAAAACUUCAUUAGCAAUUUUAAUUUCGCCUCGGUCCUGUGGUCCUGUGAUCUCGCCCUGCCUCCACUUGCCUUGUGAUAUUCUAUUACCCUGUUAAGUACUUGAUGUCUGUCACCCACACCUAUUCGUAUACUCCCUCCCCUUUUGAAACUCCCUAAUAAAAACUUGCUGGUUAUUGUGGCUUGUGGGGCAUCAUGGAUCCUAACAACGUGUGAUGUCUCCCCCGGACGCCCAGCUUUAAAAUUUCUCUUUUGUACUCUGUCCCUUUAUUUCUCAAGCCAGCCGACGCUUAGGAAAAUAGAAAAGAACCUACAUGAUUAUCGGGGCAGGUCCCCCGAUAUCUGGCGCCCACGUGGUCUUUCUUUUUUCCUAAGUGCAUGAGGGAACCCGAUUCCCUUUGGUAGGUGCGGUGAAACAUCAAUCGGCUUGGUCCACAGAUAAGCGUGUUCAACUCCCCGACGAGUGG